Molecule: ribosomal RNA, 20 nt
Filed under: Cordyceps tenuipes
Lineage: Eukaryota; Fungi; Ascomycota; Sordariomycetes; Hypocreales; Cordycipitaceae
Description: partial 28S ribosomal RNA
Source: RNAcentral
GACCUCGGAUCAGGUAGGAC